Prosopis cineraria is the source of this 3273-nucleotide RNA transcript. RefSeq lists it as uncharacterized. Lineage: Eukaryota; Viridiplantae; Streptophyta; Magnoliopsida; Fabales; Fabaceae. The record is from RefSeq and is a predicted model, not a curated record. The transcript has 4 exons.
UAAAGAAACGUGCCAGUCGGUGGCGUGAAAAUAACGUUUACUCGUUAUAUAAAGUUGGCUUGUUGGAUCUCUCAAUUUGAUCUAGAUCUUGAUAAUUAUGAAGUCGGUUUAGCGUUACUCACAGGCUAAAAAAUGGUUAGCGUUACUUGGCAGUACACGUUUAUUUGGAUCCGUAUCCAUGUGUCACGACAUCUCCAACUCAGUAAGAAGCAUCCUCAGGCAACUUCGUUAGAGAUCAAAACCGAAGCAGGGGAAGCUUGAGUCUCUUUCACUUUGCGUGCUGUGGCGGACAUGCCCAAAAAAGUGCUAAGCCUAACACACACCUCUUGACAAGCUAUUUGCACGAGAAUGAUUCUCGCUCAGAAUUGAGGAGCUAAAACCCUCUCGCACAUGACGGUGGAUUAAGCAGUAACUUCCUAUCUAACUCCCCCAAAUUCAUCUACAGCUUGGCAUGCAACGUGUUUGAUGAAAUCAAAUCAAGCAAAAGUGGGUCCCGUCUCAACUUUUUCUCCCUUCUAAGCUGUUGUUGAAAUUACUUUAAAAAGAUCAUAUCUUUCUCCAUCUCCUUCGUCAAGUGCGGCAUCGGCGGCCGAAAGAUCUGAGGAGACACUUGCACACAGAUGAUUGAACUAGCCAUUCUGAAUUUGGUCGUGGUGGUCACGAUAUUUAUCAUCCAAUGGGGAAAUUGUGAAGUUUCAACUGACCAGGCGAAUUGAAUAUUUCUAUCUUUCUUUCUUUCUUUCUUUCGUCAUUUUCAAAAGCAUUGACCUUUGCUUGACAGGUGGCCGUCCUCCUCUGUUUUCUCAUCACCCGUACCCAUUUUAGUUCCUGUUGCGUCUAAUGAACCUCACAUCGAUUCUGAUUCAUGAGGGCGUGGGAAGUGACCUAACCUAUGUAUACACAUGGAGAAGUAACUGACUUAGAACGUCAAAGUUAACUGCUCUCUUACGCCGUGUAUCCCGGCGGCAAUUCCUAUAAUUAUAAAGCUCAAACGCGUCUGAACUCUUUCUCACACAGCACAAUCAAUCGGCUCUGCACAUCCAAUUUCCUUGAGAAUAUGCAUCAUCUGAAAAACCCCACCAAAACCCAGUCUUUGGUUAGCUUCAUUUUGGUCUGCUCUUCAUUAGGGGUCGUUUAUCUUCUCGUGUCAUUGCUGGCUGUCCGUACUUCUACUUCUAUGGUUGUACAUGUGCAUUCUUCCUCACAAGAUGUGGCUGCGCAGACGUCACUUGAUCAUAUUGUGUUUGGAAUUGCUUCAAGCAUGAAAUCAUGGCCUAAGCGGAAGGAGUAUCUGAAGCUCUGGUGGAGACCCAAUCAGAUGAGGGGAUGUGUAUUUGUGGAAAGCCUUUCAGCUGAAGACCGGGCUAACAAUGCUAGCUCUUCUCUUCCUCCUCUCCGCGUUUCAGAGGACACUUCAAGAUUUCGUUACACCUUCCGAGGUGGAUCCCGGUCGGCAAUCCGUGUGGCACGCGUUGUUGCGGAGACUGUUGCUCUGAAUCAUUCUGAUGUACGAUGGUAUGUGUUUGGGGAUGAUGACACAGUUUUCUUUCCGGACAAUUUGUUGAAGACUCUCGCCAAAUAUGAUCACGAACUUUGGUACUAUAUCGGCGCGCACUCAGAGAUUUACGAGCAGAACCGAUUCUUUGGCUUUGGAAUGGCUUUCGGUGGAGCAGGUUUCGCCAUAAGUUCGUCUCUCGCAAAGGUUUUGGCUAAGGUUUUUGAUUCAUGCAUAGAAAGGUAUCCUCAUUUGUAUGGAAGUGAUAGUAGGGUGUACUCUUGCCUGACUGAGCUCGGCGUUGGAUUAACCCAUGAACCUGGUUUUCACCAGGUUGAUUUGCACGGAGAUAUGUUUGGUCUAUUGGCUGCACACCCUGUGACGCCCUUGUUAUCCCUCCAUCACAUGGAUUAUACAGACCCUAUCUUUCCUAACAUGACAAGAACACAAGCUCUAAGACGUUUGUUGGAGGCUGCUGAUGUGGAUUCGCAGAGGAUGCUGCAACAAACAGUUUGUUAUGACAGGUGGUUUUCAUGGACAAUAUCGGUGUCAUGGGGUUAUGCUGUUCAGGUUUUCCCGAGCCAUAUGUUCUUGCCGGAUGCUCUGACCGUGCAACAAACAUUCAGGCAGUGGAGGAAGGGAAAUGCUUUUGCAGGAGCUUUCACUUUUAACAAAAAAGACCCUCACCCCGACCCAUGCAGAAGACCCACCAUUUUUUACCUGGAUAGUUUGUCUUCAGGGGAGGAUGUGAUCAUAAGUAAUUAUACUAAACAUUACCAAAACUGCUCUUACGAUUCUGCUUCGCCGAGGAAACUGGAAGCCAUCAAAGUGGUUACAAAUAAGCUAGACCUUAACAUAAAACAGUUGCAGGCUCCGAGAAGGCAGUGCUGCGAUGUGUUGCCCUCUACCGCUCGUGACUUGAUGGAAAUUGCAAUAAGAGAUUGCAAAGAGGAAGAAUUGAUUUACAUGCAUUGAUGAAAGUACAGUAUAAAGCAUUUUUGAUAUGAACGGCAAAAAGAAAUAUUUGAAGGACAUGAUUAGAUGUACAAGGGAAUGCCCGCAUAUGGUUGCAGAAUCAUCAUCAGUCCAGAAUUCCGAUAGAUGCUAGGAGAUUUACUAGCUUACUCAACUUUUGAUGCACUAAUAGCACACCAGGCAAUAUACAACUAAAAGCAUUCAAGAACUUAAUAACUCAGCAGCAGCAGGCACCCUUGCCUUAGACCUCGUCUCAUGAUUCGUAAGAUUCCACGAACUCUAUCAUAUUAUAUCCUAGUUUGAAAUCAUGAGCACUUGGGCAGAAUCAUAACCUAAUGUCGGCAGAUUGAAUCAUGGGUCCGUAAAGGUUUUUGUCGGCAGUUUUGAGGCCGUAACAAGCGUUCAGCUGUUGGCUUCAUAGUUAGUCAUCAGUUCUUACUGUUGAAUGUUGACCGUCAAUGUUGAGAUCUGGACGGUGCGGAUGAGUGAUGAGCUCAUGAUGACUAUUACUGUGAUGCGGAUCGAAUCAAUAUUGAUGUAGCUUUUGUCGAUCUGGAAAUGGUACUCUGCGACCGGUUAAAUUGAAUAUGAUGUCCUAGUGCUCAAAUUCCCUAAACAUAAGGAGAUGCUGCUAGUUCAUUACAAUUCUAGCAGCUUGAGGGCCAAAAUGUGUCUUUGAUUGCAUAUUCUAAAACCAGAUCGAGAUAUGCAAGUUUGUUGCUUCUUCUAUAAUUUAUUGUUCUCUUGAUUGUCUCAACCAUUCCACAUUUAUCUUGUGUCAGCAAAUCAAAGGUGGUUCAACC